RNAcentral lists this unclassified non-coding RNA (356 nucleotides) under soil metagenome. Its description in RNAcentral is "partial contains 5.8S ribosomal RNA, internal transcribed spacer 2, and large subunit ribosomal RNA". The stretch from base 1 to 120 matches the Rfam family "5.8S ribosomal RNA", at positions 35 to 154 of the family's 154-position model. The record is from RNAcentral.
GAUGAAGAACGUAGCGAAAUGCGAUAAGUAGUGUGAAUUGCAGAAUUCAGUGAAUCAUCGAAUCUUUGAACGCACAUUGCGCCCAUUAGUAUUCUAGUGGGCAUGCCUGUUCGAGCGUCAUUAAGUCCACUUAAGCCCAGCUUAGUGUUGGGAGACUGCUCCAGCGGUGCUACCCUGUAGCUACCCUGCAGCUCCUCAAAGACAGCGGCGGAGUUGUGGUAUCCUCUGAGCUUAGUAACUUGUUCUAGCUUUCGAGUACACCACUUCCCCUGCCGUAAAAACCCUUAAUUUUUAAUGGUUGACCUCGGAUCAGGUAGGAAUACCCGCUGAACUUAAGCAUAUCAAUAAGCGGAGGA